Molecule: transfer RNA, 76 nt
Filed under: Eubacteriales bacterium
Lineage: Bacteria; Bacillati; Bacillota; Clostridia; Eubacteriales
Description: tRNA-Thr
Rfam family: tRNA
About the family: Transfer RNA (tRNA) molecules are approximately 80 nucleotides in length. Their secondary structure includes four short double-helical elements and three loops (D, anti-codon, and T loops).
Source: RNAcentral
GCUGAUAUAGCUCAGUCGGUAGAGCGCAUCCUUGGUAAGGAUGAGGUCAGCGGUUCAAAUCCGCUUAUCAGCUCCA